AUUGAACGCUGGCGGCAGGCCUAACACAUGCAAGUCGAGCGGAUGAAGGGAGCUUGCUCCUGGAUUCAGCGGCGGACGGGUGAGUAAUGCCUAGGAAUCUGCCUGGUAGUGGGGGAUAACGUCCGGAAACGGGCGCUAAUACCGCAUACGUCCUGAGGGAGAAAGUGGGGGAUCUUCGGACCUCACGCUAUCAGAUGAGCCUAGGUCGGAUUAGCUAGUUGGUGGGGUAAAGGCCUACCAAGGCGACGAUCCGUAACUGGUCUGAGAGGAUGAUCAGUCACACUGGAACUGAGACACGGUCCAGACUCCUACGGGAGGCAGCAGUGGGGAAUAUUGGACAAUGGGCGAAAGCCUGAUCCAGCCACGCCGCGUGUGUGAAGAAGGUCUUCGGAUUGUAAAGCACUUUAAGUUGGGAGGAAGGGCGGUAAGUUAAUACCUUGCUGUUUUGACGUUACCAACAGAAUAAGCACCGGCUAACUUCGUG
Molecule: ribosomal RNA, 484 nt
Filed under: uncultured bacterium
Lineage: Bacteria
Description: partial 16S ribosomal RNA
Rfam family: Bacterial small subunit ribosomal RNA
Source: RNAcentral